CGGCGGGUAGGGCUGGGAGGUCAGCCGUCUCCCAAUAGGCUGAAACCGGCUACACGCAGUGGUCAGUAACCGUCGGGUUAAGCCACCUUCCCCGCAACCCGCGCAGGACGAUAAGAUGAAUUCACGCCGAGGUGGGCGGUCAUGAAGGGCGGUCUCCUCGAAGGAGGGGUUCUGACUCUUAACUGCCGAACUGGGCGAGGUCCGGGAGGGAGCAGCCCUAAGGUGGCUUGGCCACGCUGCCUCGUCUACGUGGAGGAUUUGUUGUCCUGUGAAAUGGGAACGGGAAAGGCUGGUGAACUCCGACGGAGCCGCCG
RNAcentral lists this signal recognition particle RNA (314 nucleotides) under Nitrososphaerota archaeon. Its description in RNAcentral is "Thaumarchaeota archaeon signal recognition particle sRNA". It matches the Rfam family "Archaeal signal recognition particle RNA". The record is from RNAcentral. Lineage: Archaea; Thermoproteati; Nitrososphaerota.